AGAACGAACGCUGGCGGCAGGCCUAACACAUGCAAGUCGAACGCCCCGCAAGGGGAGUGGCAGACGGGUGAGUAACACGUGGGAACAUACCCUUCGGUUCGGAAUAACUCAGGGAAACUUGAGCUAAUACCGGAUACGUCCUGGCGGAGAAAGAUUUAUCGCCGAAGGAUUGGCCCGCGUCCGAUUAGCUAGUUGGUGAGGUAAUGGCUCACCAAGGCGACGAUCGGUAGCUGGUCUGAGAGGAUGAUCAGCCACAUUGGGACUGAGACACGGCCCAAACUCCUACGGGAGGCAGCAGUGGGGAAUAUUGGACAAUGGGCGCAAGCCUGAUCCAGCCAUGCCGCGUGAGUGAUGACGGCCUUAGGGUUGUAAAGCUCUUUCGUCAGGGACGAUAAUGACGGUACCUGAAGAAGAAGCCCCGGCUAACUUCGCGCCAGCAGCCGC
This 444-nucleotide ribosomal RNA is filed under the name uncultured bacterium. RNAcentral describes it as "SSU rRNA". It matches the Rfam family "Bacterial small subunit ribosomal RNA", at positions 26 to 518 of the family's 1533-position model. The record is from RNAcentral.